CGGUGUGUAGCUCAGCCUGGCUAGAGCGCCCCGCUAACGCGGGGAGGUCGGGGGUUCAAAUCCUUCCCACGCCGA
RNAcentral lists this transfer RNA (75 nucleotides) under Candidatus Peribacteria bacterium. RNAcentral's name for it is "tRNA-OTHER". It matches the Rfam family "tRNA". From Rfam's summary of the family: Transfer RNA (tRNA) molecules are approximately 80 nucleotides in length. Their secondary structure includes four short double-helical elements and three loops (D, anti-codon, and T loops). Further hydrogen bonds mediate the characteristic L-shaped molecular structure. tRNAs have two regions of fundamental functional importance: the anti-codon, which is responsible for specific mRNA codon recognition, and the 3' end, to which the tRNAs corresponding amino acid is attached (by aminoacyl-tRNA synthetases). tRNAs cope with the degeneracy of the genetic code in two manners: having more than one tRNA (with a specific anti-codon) for a particular amino acid; and 'wobble' base-pairing, i.e. permitting non-standard base-pairing at the 3rd anti-codon position. The record is from RNAcentral. Lineage: Bacteria; Candidatus Peregrinibacteriota; Candidatus Peribacteria.